RNAcentral lists this ribosomal RNA (254 nucleotides) under uncultured bacterium. RNAcentral's name for it is "partial 16S ribosomal RNA". It matches the Rfam family "Bacterial small subunit ribosomal RNA", at positions 524 to 776 of the family's 1533-position model. The record is from RNAcentral.
UACGUAGGGUGCGAACGUUGUCCGGAAUUAUUGGGCGUAAAGAGCUCGUAGGCGGUGCGUCGCGUCGGCCGUGAAAACCUGCAGCUUAACUGUGGGCGUGCGGUCGAUACGGGCAUCACUGGAGUUCGGCAGGGGAGACUGGAAUUCCUGGUGUAGCGGUGAAAUGCGCAGAUAUCAGGAGGAACACCGGUGGCGAAGGCGGGUCUCUGGGCCGAUACUGACGCUGAGGAGCGAAAGCGUGGGGAGCGAACAGG